This 90-nucleotide transfer RNA is filed under the name Pseudomonadota bacterium. RNAcentral describes it as "tRNA-Ser". It matches the Rfam family "tRNA". From Rfam's summary of the family: Transfer RNA (tRNA) molecules are approximately 80 nucleotides in length. Their secondary structure includes four short double-helical elements and three loops (D, anti-codon, and T loops). RNAcentral also lists the same sequence under 1 other name. Lineage: Bacteria; Pseudomonadati; Pseudomonadota. The record is from RNAcentral.
GGAGACGUGGCCGAGCGGUCGAAGGCGCUCCCCUGCUAAGGGAGUAGGCGGGAAACCGUCUCGAGGGUUCGAAUCCCUUCGUCUCCGCCA